RNAcentral lists this ribosomal RNA (253 nucleotides) under uncultured bacterium. RNAcentral describes it as "partial 16S ribosomal RNA". It matches the Rfam family "Bacterial small subunit ribosomal RNA", at positions 524 to 776 of the family's 1533-position model. The record is from RNAcentral.
UACAGAGGGUGCGAGCGUUAAUCGGAAUUACUGGGCGUAAAGCGCACGUAGGCGGCUUGGUAUGUCGGGCGUGAAAUCCCCGGGCUCAACCUGGGAACUGCAUCCGAAACUGCCUUGCUCGAGUAUGGGAGAGGGGAGUGGAAUUUCCGGUGUAGCGGUGAAAUGCGUAGAUAUCGGAAGGAACAUCAGUGGCGAAGGCGACUUCCUGGACCAAUACUGACGCUCAGGUGCGAAAGCGUGGGGAGCAAACAGG